GCAGCCCAGCUCACACAGCCCAUAGCAUACAGCAGCCCAGCUCACACAGCCCAUAGCAUACAGCAGCCCAGCUCACACAGCCCAUAGCAUACAGCAGCCCAGCACACACAGCCCAUAGCAUACAGCAGCCCAGCUCACACAGCCCAUAGCAUACAGCAGCCCAGCACACACAGCCCAUAGCAUACAGCAGCCCAGCUCACACAGUCCACAGGAUACAGCAGCC
Molecule: non-coding RNA, 223 nt
Organism: Pelobates cultripes (western spadefoot toad)
Lineage: Eukaryota; Metazoa; Chordata; Amphibia; Anura; Pelobatidae
Source: the annotation of a GenBank genome assembly